GAGUGGCGGACGGGUGAGUAAUGUCUGGGGAUCUGCCCGAUAGAGGGGGAUAACCACUGGAAACGGUGGCUAAUACCGCAUAACGUCGCAAGACCAAAGAGGGGGACCUUCGGGCCUCUCACUAUCGGAUGAACCCAGAUGGGAUUAGCUAGUAGGCGGGGUAAUGGCCCACCUAGGCGACGAUCCCUAGCUGGUCUGAGAGGAUGACCAGCCACACUGGAACUGAGACACGGUCCAGACUCCUACGGGAGGCGGCAGUGGGGAAUAUUGCACAAUGGGCGCAAGCCUGAUGCAGCCAUGCCGCGUGUAUGAAGAAGGCCUUCGGGUUGUAAAGUACUUUCAGCGGGGAGGAAGGCGAUGUGGUUAAUAACCCCAUCGAUUGACGUUACCCGCAGAAGAAGCACCGGCUAACUCCGUGCCAGCAGCCGCGGUAAUACGGAGGGUGCAAGCGUUAAUCGGAAUUACUGGGCGUAAAGCGCACGCAGGCGGUCUGUUAAGUCAGAUGUGAAAUCCCCGGGCUUAACCUGGGAACUGCAUUUGAAACUGGCAGGCUUGAGUCUUGUAGAGGGGGGUAGAAUUCCAGGUGUAGCGGUGAAAUGCGUAGAGAUCUGGAGGAAUACCGGUGGCGAA
This 630-nucleotide ribosomal RNA is filed under the name Pantoea ananatis. Its description in RNAcentral is "bacterial SSU rRNA". It matches the Rfam family "Bacterial small subunit ribosomal RNA", at positions 93 to 719 of the family's 1533-position model. The record is from RNAcentral. Lineage: Bacteria; Pseudomonadati; Pseudomonadota; Gammaproteobacteria; Enterobacterales; Erwiniaceae.